RNAcentral lists this ribosomal RNA (957 nucleotides) under uncultured bacterium. Its description in RNAcentral is "bacterial SSU rRNA". It matches the Rfam family "Bacterial small subunit ribosomal RNA", at positions 579 to 1533 of the family's 1533-position model. The record is from RNAcentral.
UUUUUUAGGUCUGAUGUGAAAGCCUUCGGCUUAACCGGAGAAGGGCAUCGGAAACCGGGAGACUUGAGUGCAGAAGAGGACAGUGGAACUCCAUGUGUAGCGGUGAAAUGCGUAGAUAUAUGGAAGAACACCAGUGGCGAAGGCGGCUGUCUGGUCUGUAACUGACGCUGAGGCUCGAAAGCAUGGGUAGCGAACAGGAUUAGAUACCCUGGUAGUCCAUGCCGUAAACGAUGAGUGCUAAGUGUUGGAGGGUUUCCGCCCUUCAGUGCUGCAGCUAACGCAUUAAGCACUCCGCCUGGGGAGUACGACCGCAAGGUUGAAACUCAAAGGAAUUGACGGGGGCCCGCACAAGCGGUGGAGCAUGUGGUUUAAUUCGAUGCUACGCGAAGAACCUUACCAGGUCUUGACAUCUUCUGCUAACCUAAGAGAUUAGGCGUUCCCUUCGGGGACGGAAUGACAGGUGGUGCAUGGUUGUCGUCAGCUCGUGUCGUGAGAUGUUGGGUUAAGUCCCGCAACGAGCGCAACCCUUAUUGUCAGUUGCCAGCAUUUAGUUGGGCACUCUGGCGAGACUGCCGGUGACAAACCGGAGGAAGGUGGGGAUGACGUCAAAUCAUCAUGCCCCUUAUGACCUGGGCUACACACGUGCUACAAUGGACGGUACAACGAGUCGCGAAACCGCGAGGUCAAGCUAAUCUCUUAAAGCCGUUCUCAGUUCGGAUUGCAGGCUGCAACUCGCCUGCAUGAAGUUGGAAUCGCUAGUAAUCGUGGAUCAGCAUGCCACGGUGAAUACGUUCCCGGGCCUUGUACACACCGCCCGUCACACCAUGAGAGUUUGUAACACCCAAAGCCGGUGAGGUAACCUUCGGGAACCAGCCGUCUAAGGUGGGACAGAUGAUUAGGGUGAAGUCGUAACAAGGUAGCCGUAGGAGAACCUGCGGCUGGAUCACCUCCUUUCUA